GGUAGUAAUGUUAUAAAAUGUACGUGACGGCGGCGAUAAUACACUGUGCAUCAUAUUAUGUACCUACCGACUCUUUGUGCCGACGUUUGAUAACAAUAUUAUAAUCUUGUCGUCGUGAACGGGUCCGGUAUUAAUUAAAUCACCCGAUACGCAACUAUGCCGUCGUAAUGUUUCAACGCGAUCGUGUAUAUACGUAUAAUAGCGAGUAGAUUUUUUUUUUUUUGCUUUUUAUCAUUAAAACGUGAUUCAAAAAUGUUCACUAUGUUUUAGCAUUCAUAGUGACACACAUUAUCACUUCAAAGGUUUUUGUUUUUUUUUUUUCUUUA
Molecule: non-coding RNA, 326 nt
Organism: Cinara cedri
Lineage: Eukaryota; Metazoa; Arthropoda; Insecta; Hemiptera; Aphididae
Source: the annotation of a GenBank genome assembly